UUACACUGUGAACAAGCAAAUGGUGAGAGGUGAGGAUCGCUUCGGGAUUUCCUCUCCCAUUCCCUCCAAGAUCCGCUGGCCCCAACUGGCCCCAUGUGGAAAUUGAUCCCUUUACAGCAAGUACAGGAUUGCACAGCUGGGGCCAAGGAAUGCCCAGUACUGCCAGGACCACUGGAUGGCAGAAGACUUCACCUAGCCUCUGGCGGUUCAACGGGCCAGGGUGGCAUCACUUAAAGAGUGUCUGAUGGGCACCACCUACAGGCUAUUGGAGAAGAGCAUGCACCUGAAGCCCAGCUUCACCACUACUGAGAUGCAACCUCAGACAUGAAAAAAAAGAAAGAACCUCGUGUGUCUGGCCUCCAGACAUGAUCCAGGAGGGAGUUAAAAAUUGCUCAGGCUGGAGAAGGAGGCCUGCUGGAGGGACGUCCUCAAGCAGCGAAGAAAAAGUGGGAUCUGGAGCCAGGACGGGCACUGGCUACACCAGGAGGACGAA
RNAcentral lists this long non-coding RNA (493 nucleotides) under Equus asinus (donkey). Its description in RNAcentral is "lncRNA (ENSEASG00005029594.1)". Lineage: Eukaryota; Metazoa; Chordata; Mammalia; Perissodactyla; Equidae. The record is from RNAcentral.